UACGUAGGGUGCAAGCGUUAUCCGGAAUUAUUGGGCGUAAAGAGCUCGUAGGCGGUUUGUCGCGUCUGCCGUGAAAGUCCGGGGGCUCAACUCCGGAUCUGCGGUGGGUACGGGCAGACUAGAGUGAUGUAGGGGGAGACUGGAAUUCCUGGUGUAGCGGGUGAAAUGCGCAGAUAUCAGGAGGAACACCGAUGGCGAAGGCAGGUCUCUGG
RNAcentral lists this ribosomal RNA (212 nucleotides) under uncultured bacterium. Its description in RNAcentral is "partial 16S ribosomal RNA". It matches the Rfam family "Bacterial small subunit ribosomal RNA", at positions 524 to 732 of the family's 1533-position model. The record is from RNAcentral.